CAAUAGCGUAUAUUAAAGUUGUUGCAGUUAAAAAGCUCGUAGUUGGCUUUCUGGUGGGAGCGAUCGGUCUGGCGCUUAGCGCGAGUACUUGCAUCGUCUCCGGCCAUCCUUGGGGAGAGUCUGUCUGGCAUUAGGUUGUCGGGCAGAGGAUCCUCAUCGUUUACUGUGAAAAAAUUAGAGUGUUCAAAGCAGGCUUAUGCCGUUGAAUAUAUUAGCAUGGAAUAAUAAGAUAGGACUUUGGUACUAUUUUGUUGGUUUGCGCACCAAAGUAAUGAUUAAUAGGGACAGUUGGGGGUAUUCGUAUUCCGUUGUCAGAGGUGAAAUUCUUGGAUUUACGGAAGACGAACUACUGCGAAAGCAUUUACCAAGGAUGUUUUCAUUAA
This 383-nucleotide ribosomal RNA is filed under the name uncultured eukaryote. RNAcentral's name for it is "partial 18S ribosomal RNA". It matches the Rfam family "Eukaryotic small subunit ribosomal RNA", at positions 592 to 976 of the family's 1831-position model. The record is from RNAcentral.